CUUCAGCCGUUUUGCUCUCUUCCCUCUAUUAUUUUCUUCUUCUUCCCACAACCGAGAGCCUCAAAGGCUAACCACAUCGCCACUCGCACCAUCGGCCACCAUGACCGACGCGUGACCACCACCCAAGUGGCCUCCAUAUGCGAAUGAAAACAACCCUUAUAAAGCCUUAAGUUGAUGCCUUUCUCUUAACCUUUCGGUAAAGAUCCAAACACAACAAAGAUCUUCACCGAAAGUUUUGAAAUCCUCUACAUCGUUUCUCUCUUCUCGACUCCGGUGAAGAUCCAAACACAACAAAGGUUUCCCGAGCAACCUUCAAUGUUUCAGUCUCAAACCUAGUGGCUCAAAUUGAAUCUUCAAAAAGGAUUGGACCUUGGUUUAGUAUCUCCAGAGGUCCUACAGAACUUUUUUUGAUAUGGAGCAAUAUCCUCUUAUUUCAGAGCUUACACACCGUUUCCAGGGAUUCAGGGAAAGAUUAUUGGUAGAAUGCAUCAUGAUUUUCCUUUAUACUUUCCAGACAGUUAAUGAUAAAGUUGAGAUGUAUCGCUAAAAAAGGAAAAUGGGAAAACAAUUAUGGCUGCACUCUUCCAGAACCAGGAAAAUAUUGUAGAAGAGGUAGUGUUUUUCAUGUUUCCAUCUCAGGACUUAUGAUUGAGGCAUCUGCUUGUUAUAUCCAAACUGUUCUAUUAUUUAUUUGGAGCCAAAACUGUAUCCAUUAUUUUUCUUAUUGCUGAUACUUCAGGUAGUUAUAGAACCAAUAAUUAAAAUACCCCGAGAAAUCCUUCAACAAUAUGGUAUACAUAUGGAGUAGAAGAACACUACCUCCUGUUGUUGAUUCCUCCAUGGGUUUUUUUAUGGUUGACCUCUCCCCCCUUUUCUGAUGAUGAUUGAGACUAUAUCCUUGAUAUUUUCUCUGUCUUGUUGUGCUUGGAGCUCUGUCUCUUGUUUUGUGUGUCUGCAGGGCAUGGAUUCGAGCAUGGCCAAUGAGCAUUGGUUUUAGUGGAUAGCCGACCAGCAUGGGUCUUCUUCGGUGGGUUCACGUGGAUGGUGCACUGUCCCGGGCUUCCUCCUGGUGGAUUUGCACAUGUUAAUAUAAUAAACAUGAGUGAUAAUAAUACUAAUAAUUAUUAUAAAAAAACUUCAAAGCUUAU
This is a long non-coding RNA of Hibiscus syriacus, 1148 nucleotides long. RefSeq lists it as uncharacterized. NCBI's taxonomy places the organism in Eukaryota, Viridiplantae, Streptophyta, Magnoliopsida, Malvales, Malvaceae. The transcript has 6 exons. The record is from RefSeq and is a predicted model, not a curated record.